RNAcentral lists this ribosomal RNA (497 nucleotides) under uncultured bacterium. Its description in RNAcentral is "partial 16S ribosomal RNA". It matches the Rfam family "Bacterial small subunit ribosomal RNA", at positions 28 to 507 of the family's 1533-position model. The record is from RNAcentral.
GAUGAACGCUGGCGGCGUGCCUAAUACAUGCAAGUCGAGCGAACAGACGAGGAGCUUGCUCCUCUGACGUUAGCGGCGGACGGGUGAGUAACACGUGGAUAACCUACCUAUAAGACUGGGAUAACUUCGGGAAACCGGAGCUAAUACCGGAUAAUAUAUUGAACCGCAUGGUUCAAUAGUGAAAGACGGUUUUGCUGUCACUUAUAGAUGGAUCCGCGCCGCAUUAGCUAGUUGGUAAGGUAACGGCUUACCAAGGCAACGAUGCGUAGCCGACCUGAGAGGGUGAUCGGCCACACUGGAACUGAGACACGGUCCAGACUCCUACGGGAGGCAGCAGUAGGGAAUCUGCCGCAAUGGGCGAAAGCCUGACGGAGCAACGCCGCGUGAGUGAUGAAGGUCUUCGGAUCGUAAAACUCUGUUAUUAGGGAAGAACAAAUGUGUAAGUAACUGUGCACGUCUUGACGGUACCUAAUCAGAAAGCCACGGCUAACUACGUG